Molecule: small nuclear RNA, 19 nt
Filed under: Arabidopsis thaliana (thale cress)
Lineage: Eukaryota; Viridiplantae; Streptophyta; Magnoliopsida; Brassicales; Brassicaceae
Description: snRNA_12902
Source: RNAcentral
GCAAUGUGCUUUCUGCUCU